This 231-nucleotide ribosomal RNA is filed under the name uncultured bacterium. RNAcentral describes it as "partial 16S ribosomal RNA". It matches the Rfam family "Bacterial small subunit ribosomal RNA", at positions 91 to 339 of the family's 1533-position model. The record is from RNAcentral.
GGGAGCGGCAGACGGCUGAGUAACACGUUGGAAUCUACCCGAUACUCGAGAAUAGCCCGGAGAAAUCCGGAUUAAUGCUCGAUAGUCCCUUAGGGGUAAAGAUUUAUCGGUAUCGGAGGAUCCUGCGGCCUAUCAGUUUGUUGGUGGGGUAAUGGCUUACCAAGACAAUGACGGGUAGCUGGUGUGAGAGCACGACCAGCCAGAAUGGGACUGAGACACGGCCCAUACUCC